This 31-nucleotide non-coding RNA is filed under the name Rattus norvegicus (Norway rat). The record is from RNAcentral. Lineage: Eukaryota; Metazoa; Chordata; Mammalia; Rodentia; Muridae.
UAUCAGAACUCCAUUGAUCGGUGUUGAAACU